CGGGGUGAGUAAUGUCUGGGAAACUGCCUGAUGGAGGGGGGUAACUACUGGAAACGGUAGCUAAUACCGCAUAACGUCGCAAGACCAAAGUGGGGGGACCUUCGGGCCUCAUGCCAUCAGAUGUGCCCAGAUGGGAUUAGCUAGUAGGUGGGGUAACGGCUCACCUAGGCGACGAUCCCUAGCCGGUCUGAGAGGAUGACCAGCCACACUGGAACUGAGACACGGUCCAG
RNAcentral lists this ribosomal RNA (230 nucleotides) under uncultured bacterium. RNAcentral describes it as "partial 16S ribosomal RNA". It matches the Rfam family "Bacterial small subunit ribosomal RNA", at positions 104 to 334 of the family's 1533-position model. The record is from RNAcentral.